Molecule: transfer RNA, 73 nt
Filed under: Zootermopsis nevadensis
Lineage: Eukaryota; Metazoa; Arthropoda; Insecta; Blattodea; Termopsidae
Description: tRNA-Thr for anticodon UGU
Rfam family: tRNA
About the family: Transfer RNA (tRNA) molecules are approximately 80 nucleotides in length. Their secondary structure includes four short double-helical elements and three loops (D, anti-codon, and T loops). Further hydrogen bonds mediate the characteristic L-shaped molecular structure. tRNAs have two regions of fundamental functional importance: the anti-codon, which is responsible for specific mRNA codon recognition, and the 3' end, to which the tRNAs corresponding amino acid is attached (by aminoacyl-tRNA synthetases). tRNAs cope with the degeneracy of the genetic code in two manners: having more than one tRNA (with a specific anti-codon) for a particular amino acid; and 'wobble' base-pairing, i.e. permitting non-standard base-pairing at the 3rd anti-codon position.
Source: Rfam by way of RNAcentral
GCCACCAUGGUCUAGCGGUUAGGACGCUGGCCUUGUAAUCCUGGGGUCUCGGGUUCGAUUCCCGGCGGUGGCC